RNAcentral lists this ribosomal RNA (229 nucleotides) under uncultured bacterium. RNAcentral's name for it is "partial 16S ribosomal RNA". It matches the Rfam family "Bacterial small subunit ribosomal RNA", at positions 568 to 796 of the family's 1533-position model. The record is from RNAcentral.
UGCGUAGGCGGAAUAUUAAGUCAGUGGUGAAAUCCUGCGGCUCAACCGUAGAACUGCCAUUGAUACUGAUAUUCUUGAAUGUAGUUGAGGUAGGCGGAAUGUGUAAUGUAGCGGUGAAAUGCUUAGAUGUUACACAGAACACCGAUUGCGAAGGCAGCUUACUAAACUAUGAUUGACGCUGAUGCACGAAAGCGUGGGGAGCGAACAGGAUUAGAUACCCUGGUAGUCC